UGCAGUUGAGCGAGAAUUUAAUUAUUGCUUGCAAUAAUUAAAGGAAAGCGGCGAACGGGUGAGUAAUAUGUUGAUACUUGCCCCCAAGUCAGGGAUAGCUCAUCGAAAGAUGAAUUAAUACCGGAUAGUCUCUUCGGAGUAAAAAUUUAUUGCUUGGGGAGAGGUCUGCAUUCUAUCAGCUAGUUGGUGAGGUAAUGGCUCACCAAGGCUAUGACGGAUAACUGGUCUGAGAGGAUGAUCAGUCACAAUGGAACUGAGACACGGUCCAUACUCCUACGGGAGGCAGCAGUGAGGAAUCUUCCACAAUGGGCGAAAGCCUGAUGGAGCGACACCGCGUGAAGGAUGAAGGUCUAACGAUUGUAAACUUCUUUUCUGGAGGAGCAUAAUGAGAGUACUUCAGGAAUAAGGGACGGCUAAUUACGUGCCAGCAGCCGCGGUAAUACGUAAGUCCCGAGCAUUACCCGGAAUUACUGGGUGUAAAGGGUUCGCAGGCUGAAUGAUAAGUCAGGUAUGAAAGACCGGAGCUUAACUCCGUGUUUGUGCUUGAAACUAUCUUUCUAGAAUUAGGGAGAGGUAAGCGGAAUUCUAAGUGUAGGGGUGCAAUCCGUAGAUACUUAGAAGAACACCAAAAGCGAAGGCAGCUUACUGGAACUAAAUUGACGCUAAUGAACGAAAGCGUGGGGAGCGAAAAGGAUUAGAUACCCUUGUAGUCCACGCCCUAAACGAUGAUAACUAAGUGUUGCAUUU
Molecule: ribosomal RNA, 747 nt
Filed under: uncultured bacterium
Lineage: Bacteria
Description: bacterial SSU rRNA
Rfam family: Bacterial small subunit ribosomal RNA
Source: RNAcentral